GUAGUCAUAUGCUUGUCUAAAAGAUUAAGCCAUGCAUGUCUAAGUUUAAGUAAGUAACAGCGAAACUGCGGACGGCUCAUUAAAUCAGUUAUAGUCUAUUUGACAAAAAAGCAAUCGGAUAACUGCAGUAAUUCUGGAGCUAAUACGUGCACGUAACCUUCGGGUGCGCUUGUGAGUAAAGGCACAAAAUUAAUGAAAUAUUACAAUCUUGCGGAUCGCACAGCCUUGUGCUGGCGACGGUUCAUAUGAAUAUCUGCCCUAUCAAGUUUCGAUGGUAGUGUAGUGGACUACCAUGCUUGCAACGGGUAACGGGGAAU
Molecule: ribosomal RNA, 317 nt
Filed under: uncultured fungus
Lineage: Eukaryota; Fungi
Description: bacterial SSU rRNA
Rfam family: Eukaryotic small subunit ribosomal RNA
Source: RNAcentral